GACGGAGGAUGCAAGCGCUAUCCGGAAUGAUUGGGCGUAAAGCGUUCGCAGGUGGCUGUUCAAGUCUGCUGUCAAAGACCGGGGCUUAACCCCAGAAAGGCAGUGGAAACUGAACGGCUGGAGUGCAGAUCGGGUAGAGGGAAUGCCCAGUGUAGCGGUGAAAUGCGUAGAGAUUGGGAAGAACACAGGUGGCGAAAGCGCUCUGCUGGACUGCAACUGACACUGAGGGACGAAAGCUAGGGGAGCGAAAGGG
This 253-nucleotide ribosomal RNA is filed under the name uncultured bacterium. Its description in RNAcentral is "partial 16S ribosomal RNA". It matches the Rfam family "Bacterial small subunit ribosomal RNA", at positions 524 to 776 of the family's 1533-position model. The record is from RNAcentral.